UCCGUAGGUGGAUCAAUCAGUCAGAGGUGAAGUCCUGCAGCUUAACUGUAGAACUGCCUUUGAUACUGUUGAUCUUGAGUCAUUAUGAAGUGGUUAGAAUGUGUAGUGUAGCGGUGAAAUGCAUAGAUAUUACACAGAAUACCGAUUGCGAAGGCAGAUCACUAAUAAUGUACUGACACUGAGGGACGAAAGCGUGGGGAGCGAACAGGAUUAGAUACCCUGGUAGUCC
Molecule: ribosomal RNA, 229 nt
Filed under: uncultured bacterium
Lineage: Bacteria
Description: partial 16S ribosomal RNA
Rfam family: Bacterial small subunit ribosomal RNA
Source: RNAcentral